AGUUUCGAAUCAUUCACAAUGGGCGAAAGCCUGAUGGUGCGACGCCGCGUGAGGGACGUAGGCCUUCGGGUUGUAAACCUCUGUCACCGGGGAAGAAACGUCAUCCGUUAAUAGCGGAUGGCCUGACUUAACCCGGAGAGGAAGCAGUGGCUAACUCUGUGCCAGCAGCCGCGGUAAUACAGAGACUGCAAGCGUUAUUCGGAUUCACUGGGCGUAAAGGGUGCGCAGGCGGCCAUGUGUGUCUGGUGUGAAAUCCCGGGGCUUAACUCCGGAAUUGCGCCGGAAACUACAUGGCUAGAGCAUUGGAGAGGGUAGCGGAAUUCACGGUGUAGCAGUGAAAUGCGUAGAUAUCGUGAGGAACACCAGAGGCGAAGGCGGCUACCUGGACAAUUGCUGACGCUCAGGCACGAAAGCGUGGGGAGCGAAAGGGAUUAGAUACCCCUGUAGUCCACGCCCUAAACGGUGCACACUAGGUCUUGGAGGAUUCGACCCCUUCAGGGCCCAAGCUAACGCGUUAAGUGUGCCGCCUGAGGACUACGGCCGCAAGGCUAAAACUCAAAGGAAUUGACGGGGGCCCGCACAAGCGGUGGAGCAUGUGGCUUAAUUCGAUGCAACGCGAAGAACCUUACCUGGCCUUGACAUGCACCAGACCGACGCUGAAAGGCGUCUUCCCUUCGGGGCUGGUGCACAGGUGCUGCAUGGCUGUCGUCAGCUCGUGUCGUGAGAUGUUGCGUUAAGUCGCGCAACGAGCGCAACCCCUGUCCUUAGUUGCCAUCAUUAAGUUGGGCACUCUAAGGAGACAAACCCUCUCUGAGGGUGGGAAGGUGGGGAUGACGUCAAGUCAGGAUGGCCCUUACGGCCAGGGCUGCACACGUGCUACAAUGCCCGAUACAGAGGGAUGCAAUGCCGCGAGGCAAAGCGAAUCUCAAAAAUCGGGCCCAGUUCAGAUUGCAGUCUGCAACUCGACUGCAUGAAGUUGGAAUCGCUAGUAAUGGCGCAUCAGCUACGGCGCCGUGAAUACGUUCCCGGGCCUUGUACACACCGCCCGUCACAUCAUGAAAGCCGGUUUCGCCCGAAGUGCGUUAGCCAACCAGCAAUGGAGGCGGCGCCCUAAGGUGAAGCUGGUGAUUGGGAUGAAGUCGUAACAAGGUAACCGUA
This 1158-nucleotide ribosomal RNA is filed under the name uncultured Verrucomicrobiota bacterium. RNAcentral describes it as "bacterial SSU rRNA". It matches the Rfam family "Bacterial small subunit ribosomal RNA", at positions 353 to 1504 of the family's 1533-position model. Lineage: Bacteria; Pseudomonadati; Verrucomicrobiota. The record is from RNAcentral.